This 440-nucleotide ribosomal RNA is filed under the name uncultured bacterium. RNAcentral describes it as "partial 16S ribosomal RNA". It matches the Rfam family "Bacterial small subunit ribosomal RNA", at positions 338 to 795 of the family's 1533-position model. The record is from RNAcentral.
CCUACGGGUGGCAGCAGUGGGGAAUAUUGCACAAUGGGGGAAACCCUGAUGCAGCGACGCCGCGUGAAGGACGAAGUUGUUCGGCAUGUAAAGCUCUUUCAGUAGGGAAGAAAAUGACGGUACCUGAGUAAGAAGCACCGGCUAACUACGUGACAGCAGCCGCGGUAAUACGUAGGGGGCAAGCGUUAUCCGGAAUUACUGGGCGUAAAGGGCGCGUAGCCGGGAGUGCAAGUCUGUAGUGAAAGGCGGGGGCUUAACCCCCGGACUGCACUGGAAACUGUAAGGCUGGAGUGGAGGAGAGGUAGGUGGAAUUCCGAGUGUAGCGGUGAAAUGCGUAGAUAUUAGGAGGAACACCAGUUGCGAAGGCGGCUUACUGGAAUCUAACUGACGCUGAGGCACGAAAGCGUGGGGAGCAAACAGGAUUAGAUACCCGUGUAGUC